GAUGAACGCUGGCGGCGUGCCUAAUACAUGCAAGUCGAGCGAACAGACGAGGAGCUUGCUCCUCUGACGUUAGCGGCGGACGGGUGAGUAACACGUGGAGAACCUACCUAUAAGACUGGGAUAACUUCGGGAAACCGGAGCUAAUACCGGAUAAUAUAUUGAACCGCAUGGUUCAAUAGUGAAAGACGGUUUUGCUGUCACUUAUAGAUGGAUCCGCGCCGGAUUAGCUAGUUGGUAAGGUAACGGCUUACCAAGGCGACGAUGCGUAGCCGACCUGAGAGGGUGAUCGGCCACACUGGAACUGAGACACGGUCCAGACUCCUACGGGAGGCAGCAGUAGGGAAUCUUCCGCAAUGGGCGAAAGCCUGACGGAGCAACGCCGCGUGAGUGAUGAAGGUCUUCGGAUCGUAAAACUCUGUUAUUAGGGAAGAACAAAUGUGUAAGUAACUAUGCACGUCUUGACGGUACCUAAUCAGAAAGCCACGGCUAACUACGUG
RNAcentral lists this ribosomal RNA (497 nucleotides) under uncultured bacterium. RNAcentral describes it as "partial 16S ribosomal RNA". It matches the Rfam family "Bacterial small subunit ribosomal RNA", at positions 28 to 507 of the family's 1533-position model. The record is from RNAcentral.